Long non-coding RNA from Falco peregrinus (peregrine falcon), 2428 nucleotides. RefSeq lists it as uncharacterized. The record is from RefSeq and is a predicted model, not a curated record. The transcript has 2 exons. Lineage: Eukaryota; Metazoa; Chordata; Aves; Falconiformes; Falconidae.
AUUCUGCAAUAUAACAUUCAGGGUAGAGAAUUAAGCAUCAUUACCUACUUGGUUUUCAAGCUAUUCCCCCUCUUCCAGCCCUGAGAGACAUAGAUAGGUCUGUAUUAGGUGAUCCCUCAGGUACGUGUAUGACACACAAAGCUUCUGUCUGGUCAUGUAAGCUCCCCUUAAUUUGUAAGGGAGCAGGUGGCAGAGUUACAGCUCCUUUCUCUUGCAGUGUGGCAAAGCCAAUGUGCAGCACUGUGGGAGUAACAGACGGCAACUGUGACUCAGCCAGCACUGAAUGACAGUGGAGAAGCCCCUGCUGCACUCAGGGGUAUAGGUGUAAGCUAAAUAUCAUCUGCACAUUAAAUGCAUAGGGUAUGAUUCCAAAUGCAGUUCAUAUAGCCUCUCCUUUUGAUGAUAAAGGGAUGCAAGUGUUGUACUGCAGGCCUAUAGCUACAGAAGUGACCUUUUACUUUUUUUUUUCUUUUCCCCUCUUGUUUUUAAAAGACCUCAGUGCCUUCCUUCUCCAGUAACUCUUGAUGCUACAGGCUCUCACUGACAGUUUGCUCUUUGUUCACAGUAGCCAGGGGAACAGUGAGGUGGGAGCUGCCUUCCUGUGCUCCUCUUGGAAUAGAACAAAGUUCCCAACACUAUUUAGUCAAAUUGGAAGCAGAGAAGGAAGUUUUGGUGCUAAAGUGAGGAAAAUGGUAGCAUGGAUAAGUGAAAGAAGUGGGGAUAAAAGAAAUAAAGAGGAAAUUCAACAGCUUGAUUGUCUUCAGCUGCCACAUGUUUUGGUUGGACACAGCUCCCUGGUUUUGCUCAGAAGUUCCCCAUCUCCUUAGCAUUGGCUGCAGCUGUGCUCCAGAGCUUGGAGCUGUGGUGUGAUAGAGGAAUUUUAUCUCCUUCCGCAUUUGCCAGGCACAACAUAAGGUAAAAAUGUAGGAUAUGGGGAAAACUAACAAGGCAGGAAGGGAAAAGCAAAAUGUUAAAGUGUGUCAUGCAGAAGACUUCCUUUCAAAGCUGUUGGACUGAAGCCGUGCAUGGAUCCAUCUUCCCCAGCUAAUUUUUAAUUCUGCAGCCCCUGCAUGUGAAAGCCAAAGGUCUUCUGCAGGAGGGGUUUAUCUGCACUAUAUCUGAGUGUUUGCCUUUGCACAAUCCUAGUAACAUGGCUGUGAACUGGAUUUUUAUUGCUAGUACUGCAGUGAGAUGGCUUCUAUCUUAAUUGCUGCAAAGUAGCUCGUAAGUAGCCUUUCAGUCCUCCUCCUAUUUGCAGCUUACAUGCUUCCUUAGCCUGACCUGUCACAUAAAAACAAAUGCUAGUGGGGCUCUGGUUUGGAGGAGAGGUGAGCUGGGACAGGUGGGGCUCAGAAAUACUACAGUUGUGGUCUGUUCAGGACCCUUCUGCACUCCCUAAGUUGGGGGAAUCAAAGAUGCAGCUCAGGCAUUCCUGUCUUACUUUCUCUUUGUAACUUCUGGAUUACUUGGGGAUCUCACUGUGCAGCAAACACAGGAAAACUAUCACCCUAUCCAAGAGAAAAGAAAAAGCACUAAAAUUGCUUCACUGUUCAAUGCAGAUGCAGACACAGCUUUCAAGUCUCUUGCAGGCCAGAGGAGAUCCACCUUCUUAAGAUGCCAAAGGGUUUGUCCCACAUGAGUUGGGUUUCAAGUAGCUGCUCGAAGCCUCCCACGGCUCAAUGUGUGGAGUCCUUGUAUCUGUGGAUUCUGUGCUGCUGAGUGGGCAGUGUGUGUUGCUUCUACCCAAGAUGAGAAGUGCACUGAAACUGAAGCUCAGAAGAGACCAGAGAAGAAAACUGCAUGCAACCACAUUGUUGGUUACUCAGAGUAUGCCUGGGGGGUGGGGGGAGUGGGAAUUAAGUGUGUUGGACAUUAGAGCCCAAGGACUGAACAGAUGAUGAAACUGAUGGUAAAAAGUAAAUGGCCUGGCCACCUGUAGGGCAUCAACCAAUCCACCAUGCUCGGGUGGCAGCUGGCUGGCCUGGGGAAACUGCUCUUUGUACAGCAUGCGUCAUGGAGCCUGCUGCAGCAGAUGGCUCUGGCUGGCCCUCUUGUUGACUGAGAGACUUACAUACUGAAUAAACUGAAGAUGCUGAAGCCGCCUCUCUGUCUCCCAAGGGGACCUUGCUUCUAUGAACUAGGCAGGAGAUGGCAAAUGUACUAUCUGGAAAAGGCUUCACAUAAAUGUAGCUUACUAGAACACGUUCGGGGAAGGCAGACUGAAUGCAUAAGACUACAGGGGUAGAGGCAUUUAGUGCGGCAUGGUGGCCAGUGAUGACUAGGAUGUCCCUUUUCGCAUUGUUCCUAACACCACAGAGCAGCACCUGCAUCCUCACCAUCUGGUCUAUUCUUUUGUUGGCUUGUGCCACACCCGAGAAGAGGGUGUAGCCCCUGUAUUUCUUUUAAUAUUAUGUCCGUCUGGUUUGGC